CGAAAGUUAGAGUAUACAACAGAUGUACAUGUACUUACGUGGUCAUAAUCAAAUAGAAGCAUUUCCCACAAAGUACAGUUACGAAGCUUUAACAUCAAAUCUGCCACUUCUAAAACUAAUGACUUAUUUGUUGUGUGGAGGCUAUCUAUCCAUGCUGUAACGUCUUAAUAAUUAAGUAUGCCUUGACUGUACAGUAGGUGUACGUGUGUGUGUGUGAGGUCAAGGUUCAUUCAUUUUACCAAUUGGCUCAGCUUCAUUGUACAUGCCCUAAACACGAUAAUUACCAGUUGUUGUUGUUCUUCCCACGCCCAGUUGAGCGUCGGCGUCGGGACAGGAUCAACUAGCUCAUCAAGAUACUGGCUCUGAGAUAGUGCCUGCUUGUCAGAAGAAAGACGCAACUACUGGUUCCAUUGUCGGGUAUGUGUACAGCAAGGGAACGGUACUGGACAAGACAGUGGACUACUUGAAAGAGCUCGUGUUUCAAAACGAACAACUCACAGCCAGUGCCAAAAUCGCAGAGAAAUCAACCAAAGCUUUGAACCAAAUCCUAGUCCUAGAGAAAGAGAACGCAUUUCUUCGAGCACAGAUUAUCCAAUUCGGAAUCGAUGGAGCUGCCUCCUCUGGUCAGAAGCAACCUAACCAGCAACUUCUAAACUCUCCUCUGGCCAGAAUCUCCCCUUCACUUACUAUAGCUACAUUGUCAGUAUUAUUAUGUAUACAUAGUUUUAUACAUGAUAUUUGUGUUAUUGAACCCGAGCAUAAUAAAUUUAGAAAAAAAAUGUUGUGAACAUAGCUACGCCCAUUAUAAUUAUGUGCAGCCUAGCCUCCAUCUCAAGCCGCACUUCCUAGAAAGUUGGCCUGGUAGUGUAGACUGCUUGCGCAUGCGCUAACCAUUAGCUACUGGACAUGAAACUGUGCUGAUGAUGAACCUUUAUCAAGAACAAGAACACUGACUCAGGACGAGGAGGACUUUGACAAGUUCCUGGAGAGUGCCAAAGCUCAACAGCUCUCACUCUCCACAAAAGUGUCCCUAUAGUUGAGUGUGAGUGUGAGAGGCCAUAUAUAUAAGGAGGACAUACGUGUGUCGAGGCUUGAGGUGGCCCGUGUGCUGAGGGAGAGAAAUGAGUACAAAGAGGAGUAGCUCUCACUAUUGGAGCAGAUUAGGUAAAGGGUCAUCUUGUAGUGUUUGUAAAGCGGUCAUAAUAACAAACACAUGGCCUCGAUUCAAGGCCGCUUAAACAUGGCCAAUCAAGGCUACUAAAAUCACACUUUUAUAGCUAUAGCAAUAAUGUGUGCAUGAGGAUGCACUCGCUAUAUGCUCAUGCGCUACGUAACCUCAAGCAUGCAUUUAUACAUGUACAAAUGGCACUCAGCACAUGGGUCUUCUUGUGGGCGUCUAACCCAAGCAGUUGGGGCUAACAAUAAUUCGUUAAAAUGUUUUGUACAGCAUCAUGCACAUGCAUGCAUAACAAUACUAUAUAGUCCUAUAGGACCAUCUCAUAAUGAUCGGAUUGACAUAAUGAUGAAAACAGUAGACUAUAUACAUAUUUUUUUAUAUCAACAAAUUUGUGCAUCCAGAGGUCAACAAAAAAUAGCUAUAAGCUAAUACUAAUCUGAUAGUAUAAUGAUUUAUAAAGAGAGAGAAGUACAGUUAAUACACGAAAGAGUACGUUAGAGAGAUUACUGACAUAUUUAUAGAAGUGCGUGUCUAUAAUAGUGUAUAGAACUGUUUCAUACAAAUUCCUCUAUGAAUUCUUAAAUGGGGUGCUCCUUCUCAUCAGUUACAGGACAUUCACAAUGUGUCAAUUGUAUUUAUACCACCACUGACUUCUAGCUUCAUGAAUAUCACUAAUUAAAGCUUUAGCUACUGCAGGCAUGCAUGAAAUUUAAAGCCGUAAUCUGCUGCAAAAUAAUAAUUAUUUGUGUAUCGUCUGUUACGUCGCUAGUUUAUGCAGUUGACCAAUAACUGAUAAAAUGAAGGAGAACAAAUGCACGAGACAAAAGGCAGUGGAGCAGCUAGAGGCACAAGAGAGCCACCUGGAACAGGCCCUCUAUAGCUAUAUAAAUUAUAGGCGCAAAGGAACAAAGAACAACUACACAAAAAUAACAAAAACUAAAGUUAACCACAGGAAAUAACAGCAUAAUCUAAUUUCUAAUCUAACCAACAGAACCUAUAAAUGCAUGCACAUACAAUAACAAACAGAACAGGAAGUUAAAGUCUAUAAUCUAUUUACACAACUAAUUAUUAUACACACUUGAAAAAAACUAAACAGGACUAUUAAUUUAUACUAAGAGACAGUUAAAUCAGUCUGAUUAAAGAUUUCUAAGGUACAGACUCUUCACAAGGUCAUCAUUUGUAGGCCUGAAUUUAUGCUCACACUUUGGGCAAUUUGCCUCAAUCAAAUCACCUUCAAAUUCUUUCACACUUGACGCUCUUCGGCACAGAGGACAUUCGAACGGCAAGCUAUUGAUACUGGGAAUUGAAGCAGCCAGGUUUUUCGCUUUCUUGAUCGCCUCUAUCAAUGUAUGCUAAUACAUGCUAACACUGUGUAUCCAGAGGAGGUUCGACAGGUGCAGUGCAGCUCAAGCAAUUGGUCUCUGAUUACACGCUUGCAUGAGCGGAUAAUUAGUGUUCAUGCAAUCAAAGGCUAAUACAUACUAACACUGUGUAUUUGUACUAACAAUGAUUAAUAAUAAUGUUUCUCUGUUGCACAGGAUGAGUGCUGACUCGGCUCUGUUUAAGUCCACGAGCAAGAAAUCAAAGUGGCUCGACUAGUGAGUUGUGUCACGUCAGUUAGUGUGUAGAGUUGUAGUGAAGCUUUUCUUAUUCUAGUCACUCUAUAGAGAUUAUUAUAGAAUACAGUCAGGUUAAUUAAUGGACUCCAUAGCGGACCUAUGCCACCUCUAGAGUACAGCUAUACUGUUUCACUGUAUAUCUUGAAGUAAGAUUAUAAUCUAGUGCAAUAAGAUACUAUUAGUGUUAUGAUUCUACUAAAACUCGUUCUCAAAAGUUUCAGCCUAUAGCCUAGUUUUAUUUUAUUGCUCCCGUUACUUGCUGCUUAGCCAGAUCAUAUAUACUAUUGUAUAACACUCCUCUGGUUUCUAUAGAUCUUUAUUAUUUAUGUCAACAGCCGAGGGUAACACUUCAGUGCUCUAGUCCUCUGGUUUCUAUU
Molecule: long non-coding RNA, 3173 nt
Organism: Halichondria panicea
Lineage: Eukaryota; Metazoa; Porifera; Demospongiae; Suberitida; Halichondriidae
Exons: 4
Source: RefSeq, a predicted model, not a curated record